AGCUACAUCUGGCUACUGGGU
Molecule: non-coding RNA, 21 nt
Filed under: Xenopus tropicalis (tropical clawed frog)
Lineage: Eukaryota; Metazoa; Chordata; Amphibia; Anura; Pipidae
Also listed under: 11 other names
Source: RNAcentral